AGUUAACAUAUUUAUUUAUUUAUUAUUUUAAAUAAAAUUUGAUUUUAUUGGAGGUUUUGUAUAAUUUUUAGGUCUUGCACUAUUUCUAGAGCGAUGUUUCUGGAUUCAUGCAGCCAUGUCACGAGACCGAAUUAGAUGACGGAGUUCAAAGCGUGACAAAGAGUGACAAGGCAGCCAUCCAAGUCAAGAUCCCUUCUAUUUGGGGUUAAACUGAAAAUUUCUGAUCUAAAUUACCAAUUGUACAUGUAUUGUGCAGUGGGCAGUGAUUGAGAAGAACUUGUGUUCCAUGUGCUGC
RNAcentral lists this long non-coding RNA (295 nucleotides) under Elaeis guineensis (African oil palm). RNAcentral describes it as "long non-coding RNA (EGUI_LNC028993)". Lineage: Eukaryota; Viridiplantae; Streptophyta; Magnoliopsida; Arecales; Arecaceae. The record is from RNAcentral.